RNAcentral lists this small RNA (76 nucleotides) under Citrobacter sp. Cb014. RNAcentral describes it as "partial RtT sRNA". It matches the Rfam family "RtT RNA", at positions 51 to 130 of the family's 130-position model. From Rfam's summary of the family: This family represents a bacterial cis-regulatory element known as RtT RNA. The exact function of RtT is unknown although it is thought that it may be involved in changing the cellular response in relation to amino acid starvation. RNAcentral also lists the same sequence under 1 other name. Lineage: Bacteria; Pseudomonadati; Pseudomonadota; Gammaproteobacteria; Enterobacterales; Enterobacteriaceae. The record is from RNAcentral.
UACCAGGGAGGAUAACGUUGCUUCAGCAACGGCCCGCAGGGCGAGGCGCAGCCGAGUAAUCCUCCCGGAUGCACCA